GGACGAAAGUCUGACGGAGCAACGCCGCGUGAGUGAUGAAGGUUUUCGGAUCGUAAAGCUCUGUUGUUAGGGAAGAACAAGUGCGAGAGUAACUGCUCGCACUUUGACGGUACCUAACCAGAAAGCCACGGCUAACUACGUGCCAGCAGCCGCGGUAAUACGUAGGUGGCAAGCGUUGUCCGGAAUUAUUGGGCGUAAAGGGCUCGCAGGCGGUUUCUUAAGUCUGAUGUGAAAGCCCCCGGCUCAACCGGGGAGGGUCAUUGGAAACUGGGAAACUUGAGUGCAGAAGAGGAGAGUGGAAUUCCACGUGUAGCGGUGAAAUGCGUAGAGAUGUGGAGGAACACCAGUGGCGAAGGCGACUCUCUGGUCUGUAACUGACGCUGAGGAGCGAAAGCGUGGGGAGCGAACAGGAUUAGAUACCCUGGUAGUCCACGCCGUAAACGAUGAGUG
RNAcentral lists this ribosomal RNA (450 nucleotides) under Bacillus safensis. RNAcentral's name for it is "bacterial SSU rRNA". It matches the Rfam family "Bacterial small subunit ribosomal RNA", at positions 373 to 815 of the family's 1533-position model. Lineage: Bacteria; Bacillati; Bacillota; Bacilli; Caryophanales; Bacillaceae. The record is from RNAcentral.